This 1776-nucleotide ribosomal RNA is filed under the name Escherichia coli. RNAcentral describes it as "partial 23S ribosomal RNA". It matches the Rfam family "Bacterial large subunit ribosomal RNA", at positions 372 to 2136 of the family's 2925-position model. Lineage: Bacteria; Pseudomonadati; Pseudomonadota; Gammaproteobacteria; Enterobacterales; Enterobacteriaceae. The record is from RNAcentral.
CCCGUACACAAAAAUGCACAUGCUGUGAGCUCGAUGAGUAGGGCGGGACACGUGGUAUCCUGUCUGAAUAUGGGGGGACCAUCCUCCAAGGCUAAAUACUCCUGACUGACCGAUAGUGAACCAGUACCGUGAGGGAAAGGCGAAAAGAACCCCGGCGAGGGGAGUGAAAAAGAACCUGAAACCGUGUACGUACAAGCAGUGGGAGCACGCUUAGGCGUGUGACUGCGUACCUUUUGUAUAAUGGGUCAGCGACUUAUAUUCUGUAGCAAGGUUAACCGAAUAGGGGAGCCGAAGGGAAACCGAGUCUUAACUGGGCGUUAAGUUGCAGGGUAUAGACCCGAAACCCGGUGAUCUAGCCAUGGGCAGGUUGAAGGUUGGGUAACACUAACUGGAGGACCGAACCGACUAAUGUUGAAAAAUUAGCGGAUGACUUGUGGCUGGGGGUGAAAGGCCAAUCAAACCGGGAGAUAGCUGGUUCUCCCCGAAAGCUAUUUAGGUAGCGCCUCGUGAAUUCAUCUCCGGGGGUAGAGCACUGUUUCGGCAAGGGGGUCAUCCCGACUUACCAACCCGAUGCAAACUGCGAAUACCGGAGAAUGUUAUCACGGGAGACACACGGCGGGUGCUAACGUCCGUCGUGAAGAGGGAAACAACCCAGACCGCCAGCUAAGGUCCCAAAGUCAUGGUUAAGUGGGAAACGAUGUGGGAAGGCCCAGACAGCCAGGAUGUUGGCUUAGAAGCAGCCAUCAUUUAAAGAAAGCGUAAUAGCUCACUGGUCGAGUCGGCCUGCGCGGAAGAUGUAACGGGGCUAAACCAUGCACCGAAGCUGCGGCAGCGACGCUUAUGCGUUGUUGGGUAGGGGAGCGUUCUGUAAGCCUGUGAAGGUGUGCUGUGAGGCAUGCUGGAGGUAUCAGAAGUGCGAAUGCUGACAUAAGUAACGAUAAAGCGGGUGAAAAGCCCGCUCGCCGGAAGACCAAGGGUUCCUGUCCAACGUUAAUCGGGGCAGGGUGAGUCGACCCCUAAGGCGAGGCCGAAAGGCGUAGUCGAUGGGAAACAGGUUAAUAUUCCUGUACUUGGUGUUACUGCGAAGGGGGGACGGAGAAGGCUAUGUUGGCCGGGCGACGGUUGUCCCGGUUUAAGCGUGUAGGCUGGUUUUCCAGGCAAAUCCGGAAAAUCAAGGCUGAGGCGUGAUGACGAGGCACUACGGUGCUGAAGCAACAAAUGCCCUGCUUCCAGGAAAAGCCUCUAAGCAUCAGGUAACAUCAAAUCGUACCCCAAACCGACACAGGUGGUCAGGUAGAGAAUACCAAGGCGCUUGAGAGAACUCGGGUGAAGGAACUAGGCAAAAUGGUGCCGUAACUUCGGGAGAAGGCACGCUGAUAUGUAGGUGAAGUCCCUCGCGGAUGGAGCUGAAAUCAGUCGAAGAUACCAGCUGGCUGCAACUGUUUAUUAAAAACACAGCACUGUGCAAACACGAAAGUGGACGUAUACGGUGUGACGCCUGCCCGGUGCCGGAAGGUUAAUUGAUGGGGUCAGCGCAAGCGAAGCUCUUGAUCGAAGCCCCGGUAAACGGCGGCCGUAACUAUAACGGUCCUAAGGUAGCGAAAUUCCUUGUCGGGUAAGUUCCGACCUGCACGAAUGGCGUAAUGAUGGCCAGGCUGUCUCCACCCGAGACUCAGUGAAAUUGAACUCGCUGUGAAGAUGCAGUGUACCCGCGGCAAGACGGAAAGACCCCGUGAACCUUUACUAUAGCUUGACACUGAACAUUGAGCCUUGAUG